Molecule: ribosomal RNA, 501 nt
Filed under: uncultured bacterium
Lineage: Bacteria
Description: bacterial SSU rRNA
Rfam family: Bacterial small subunit ribosomal RNA
Source: RNAcentral
CUGGCUCAGGACGAACGCUGGCGGCGUGCUUAACACAUGCAAGUCGAACGGAACACCCUUGACAGAGGUUUCGGCCAAUGAAGAGGAAUGUUUAGUGGCGGACUGGUGAGUAACGCGUGAGGAACCUGCCUUUCAGAGGGGGACAACAGUUGGAAACGACUGCUAAUACCGCAUGAAGCAGCGAGGGGACAUCCCCUUGCUGUCAAAGAUUUAUCGCUGAAAGAUGGCCUCGCGUCUGAUUAGCUAGUUGGUGGGGUAACGGCCCACCAAGGCGACGAUCAGUAGCCGGACUGAGAGGUUGACCGGCCACAUUGGGACUGAGAUACGGCCCAGACUCCUACGGGAGGCAGCAGUGGGGAAUAUUGGGCAAUGGACGCAAAGUCUGACCCAGCAACGCCGCGUGAAGGAAGAAGGCUUCGGGUUGUAAACUUCUUUUAACAGGGAAGAGAAGAAGACGGUACCUGUUGAAUAAGCCACGGCUAACUACGUGCCAGCAGCUGC